GGGAGUGAAAUAGAACCUGAAACCCUGCACUUACAAGCUGUGGAAGCACAUUUCUUGUGUGACCGCGUACUUUUUGUAGAACGGGCCAACGAGUUACGUUAAGUAGCAAGGUUAAGCACUUAAGGUGUGGAGCCGUAGCGAAAGCGAGUUUUAACUGAGCGUUCAGUUACUUGACGUAGACCCGAAACCGGGCGACCUACCCAUGAGCAGGAUGAAGCGAAAGUAAAAGUUCGUGGAGGUCCGAACCCACGAGCGUUGAAAAGCUCGGGGAUGACUUGUGGGUAGCGGUGAAAUUCCAAUCGAGCCCGGAGAUAGCUGGUUCUCCCCGAAAUAGCUUUAGGGCUAGCCUCAAGGUGAGAGAUACGGAGGUAGAGCACUGAAUGUCCUAGGGGGUAUUGCACCUACCGAAGACUAUCAAACUCCGAAUGCCGUCAUCUUAUACUUGGGAGUCAGACUGUGGGUGAUAAGAUUCAUAGUCGAAAGGGCAACAGCCCAGAUCGUCAGCUAAGGUCCCUAAAUGUAAGUUAAGUGGUAAAGGAUGUGGGAUUGCACAGACAACCAGGAUGUUGGCUUAGAAGCAGCCACUCAUUCAAAGAGUGCGUAAUAGCUCACUGGUCGAGUGAUCCUGCGCCGAAGAUUUCCGGGGCUAAAACUUACUACCGAAGCUACGGCAUCAGUAAUGAUGGGUAGGGGAGCUUCCCAUACGGGUUGAAGCAUGACCGUAAGGACAUGUGGACAGUAUGGGAGUGAGAAUGUUGGCAUGAGUAGCGAGAUGUGGGUGAGAAUCCCACAGGCCGUAAACCCAAGGU
Molecule: ribosomal RNA, 809 nt
Filed under: Clostridioides difficile
Lineage: Bacteria; Bacillati; Bacillota; Clostridia; Peptostreptococcales; Peptostreptococcaceae
Description: bacterial LSU rRNA
Rfam family: Bacterial large subunit ribosomal RNA
Source: RNAcentral